RNAcentral lists this ribosomal RNA (207 nucleotides) under uncultured bacterium. RNAcentral describes it as "partial 16S ribosomal RNA". It matches the Rfam family "Bacterial small subunit ribosomal RNA", at positions 568 to 774 of the family's 1533-position model. The record is from RNAcentral.
CGCGUAGGCGGCUUGGCAAGUGGAUGGUGAAAUCCCUCGGCUUAACCGAGGAACUGCCGUCCAAACUGCUUAGCUUGAGACCAGGAGAGGUGAGUGGAAUUCCCAGUGUAGCGGUGAAAUGCGUAGAUAUUGGGAGGAACACCAGUGGCGAAGGCGGCUCACUGGACUGGUACUGACGCUGAGGCGCGAAAGCGUGGGGAGCAAACG